Molecule: ribosomal RNA, 347 nt
Filed under: uncultured bacterium
Lineage: Bacteria
Description: partial 16S ribosomal RNA
Rfam family: Bacterial small subunit ribosomal RNA
Source: RNAcentral
ACUACGGGAGGCAGCAGUGAGGAAUAUUGGUCAAUGGGCGCGAGCCUGAACCAGCCAAGUAGCGUGAAGGAUGACUGCCCUACGGGUUGUAAACUUCUUUUAUAAAGGAAUAAAGUGAGGCACGUGUGCCUUUUUGUAUGGACUUUAUGAAUAAGGAUCGGCUAACUCCGUGCCAGCAGCCGCGGUAAUACGGAGGAUCCGAGCGUUAUCCGGAUUGAGUGGGGUUACAGGGAGCGUAGAUGGGUUGUUAAGUCAGUUGUGAAAGUUUGCGGCUCAACCGUAAAAUUUCAAUUGAUACUGGCAGUCUUGCGUACAGUUGAGGUAGGCGGAAUUCGUGGUGUAGCGGU